This 459-nucleotide ribosomal RNA is filed under the name uncultured bacterium. Its description in RNAcentral is "partial 16S ribosomal RNA". It matches the Rfam family "Bacterial small subunit ribosomal RNA", at positions 338 to 795 of the family's 1533-position model. The record is from RNAcentral.
CCUACGGGAGGCAGCAGUGAGGAAUAUUGGUCAAUGGACGAGAGUCUGAACCAGCCAAGUAGCGUGAAGGAUGACUGCCCUAUGGGUUGUAAACUUCUUUUAUAUGGGAAUAAAAUGUUCCACGUGUGGGAUUUUGUAUGUACCAUAUGAAUAAGGAUCGGCUAACUCCGUGCCAGCAGCCGCGGUAAUACGGAGGAUGCGAGCGUUAUCCGGAUUUAUUGGGUUUAAAGGGUGCGUAGGCGGAAUAUCAAGUCAGCGGUAAAAAUUCGGGGCUCAACCCCGUCGUGCCGUUGAAACUGAUGUUCUUGAGUGGGCGAGAAGUAUGCGGAAUGCGUGGUGUAGCGGUGAAAUGCAUAGAUAUCACGCAGAACUCCGAUUGCGAAGGCAGCAUACCGGCGCCCAACUGACGCUGAAGCACGAAAGCGUGGGUAUCGAACAGGAUUAGAUACCCUUGUAGUC